AGUGAACGCUGGCGGCAUGCCUUACACAUGCAAGUCGAACGGCAGCGCGGGAGCAAUCCUGGCGGCGAGUGGCGAACGGGUGAGUAAUAUAUCGGAACGUGCCCAGUAGUGGGGGAUAGCCCGGCGAAAGCCGGAUUAAUACCGCAUGAGACCUGAGGGUGAAAGCGGGGGAUCGCAAGACCUCGCGCUAUUGGAGCGGCCGAUAUCAGAUUAGCUAGUUGGUGGGGUAAAGGCCUACCAAGGCAACGAUCUGUAGUUGGUCUGAGAGGACGACCAGCCACACUGGGACUGAGACACGGCCCAGACUCCUACGGGAGGCAGCAGUGGGGAAUUUUGGACAAUGGGCGCAAGCCUGAUCCAGCAAUGCCGCGUGCA
RNAcentral lists this ribosomal RNA (375 nucleotides) under uncultured bacterium. Its description in RNAcentral is "bacterial SSU rRNA". It matches the Rfam family "Bacterial small subunit ribosomal RNA", at positions 29 to 405 of the family's 1533-position model. The record is from RNAcentral.